GGACCCGUAGCUCAGGGGUAGAGCAGGAGCCUUUUAAGCUUCGUGUCGUGGGUUCGAUUCCCACCGGGUCCUCCA
This 75-nucleotide transfer RNA is filed under the name Candidatus Berkelbacteria bacterium CG_4_10_14_0_2_um_filter_35_9_33_12. RNAcentral describes it as "tRNA-Lys". It matches the Rfam family "tRNA". From Rfam's summary of the family: Transfer RNA (tRNA) molecules are approximately 80 nucleotides in length. Lineage: Bacteria; Candidatus Berkelbacteria. RNAcentral also lists the same sequence under 2 other names. The record is from RNAcentral.